RNAcentral lists this small nuclear RNA (106 nucleotides) under Castor canadensis (American beaver). Lineage: Eukaryota; Metazoa; Chordata; Mammalia; Rodentia; Castoridae. The record is from RNAcentral.
AUGCUCACGUUAGCAGCACACAAACUAAAACUGGAUUGAUACAGGGAAGAUUAGCACGGUCCCUGCACAAGGAUGACAGCAAAUUUGUGAAGCCGUCAUAGUUUUG